CAGCAGCCGCGGUAAGACGGAGGAUGCAAGCGUUAUCCGGAAUGAUUGGGCGUAAAGCGUCUGUAGGUGGUUUAUUAAGUCUGCUGUUAAAGCACAGGGCUCAACCCUGUAUGGGCGGUAGAAACUGGUAGGCUUGAGUAUGGUAGGGGUAGAGGGAAUUCCCGAUGUAGUGGUGAAAUGCGUUGAUAUCGGGAAGAACACCAAAGGCGAAAGCACUCUGCUGGGCCAAUACUGACACUAAGAGACGAAAGCUAGGGGAGCAAAUGGGAUUAGAUACCCCUGUAGUCCCUGUCUCUUAUAC
Molecule: ribosomal RNA, 301 nt
Filed under: uncultured bacterium
Lineage: Bacteria
Description: partial 16S ribosomal RNA
Rfam family: Bacterial small subunit ribosomal RNA
Source: RNAcentral